Larimichthys crocea (large yellow croaker) is the source of this 924-nucleotide long non-coding RNA. RefSeq lists it as uncharacterized. Lineage: Eukaryota; Metazoa; Chordata; Actinopteri; Sciaenidae. The transcript is spliced from 4 exons. The record is from RefSeq and is a predicted model, not a curated record.
GCCCUGCCGGUCCCGACCUAUAGGCUGCAGACGCAUUUUUUCCGGGUCCUCCUCAUUGAUGGCCAUCUUGAACUUCAGGUUGUCGUCGAACUGACACUCGCACAGAUACUGAAGGAUGCUUGACUUGCACUCCAUGGACAUUUCCUGGUAGCCCUUCUGCUCCAGCUCCCAUGCCCAGAAGUCGGGCUCCACGGUUAAUGGAAAGUUCUCCACUUAAACUCCACAAGAUAGUGGCAGCUUGGAGAGAGACACAGUGAGGCAGGGCAGACAUGGAGCCAAGGGCCCGGGCUGGUAUCAAACCCGGACCACUGCAGCACAGACUCAGCACGUCACACUUGGAAAGUUAAAAUGGACUUUGUGACUUUGGGCUAUACAAAUAAAACCUGAUUUGAUUUGAUAUUCAUGUGAACUUUCAAUGGAGACUGCGUCAAACUACUUUUUAUUAUACAUUAGUACAUGUGUUUAAUCAUGUUUAUUGUUGCAUCUGUCCUCUGAUUAUUGUUGUCAUGACACUGCUAUGACUACCUGUUCUGCCUCCACGAUGAUAAAGAUUUCCACUGGCAUUUCUAACCACACAUGUAACAAAAAAAAUACAUGUAACUAAAAAAAAAAAAACAACCUGGGACAAAAGAGGCUGUUAACGUGAGACUGUCACGGAGCCCGUGAAUUUACAGGAAAUUCCAGUUUUCUGUCACUGGCACGUUAAACUAAAAGUUUCUCAUCAUUAUUAUUUAACGCUAACCCUGCUGAAAGAUGAAAUAUAAACACACAUUUAACUCUAACCCUGCUGAAAGAUGAAAUAUAAACACGCAUUUAACUCCAACCCUGCCGAAACAUGAAAUAUAAACACACAUUUAACUCUAACCCUGCCGAAACAUGAAAUAUAAACACACAUUUAACUCUAACCCUGCCGAAACAUGAAAU